Long non-coding RNA from Oxyura jamaicensis (ruddy duck), 429 nucleotides. RefSeq lists it as uncharacterized. Lineage: Eukaryota; Metazoa; Chordata; Aves; Anseriformes; Anatidae. The record is from RefSeq and is a predicted model, not a curated record. The transcript is spliced from 3 exons.
AUUUUAUCAAAGUAAUUUUUUAUUAGUUCUUCUUUACUUUUUUCAUAUUAUCAUUAAAUAUGAGGACAGGUUUUGUGUUUAAUUGCAAAUGAGCUAGGUAAUGUAAGUUAAAAGGGCAAUGUAAGUAUAUUGAAGACUGGAGGUGCAGCAGAGGGUGAUCCUGCCCCUUCUGUUCUACAGUUCUCUGGCCAGCAAAUCAACAGUAGGAAGAUGGUCAAACCCUAUUAGGGAUUGAGAUGAACUUCUGGCAGAAACAUUUCAACAGUUUAUACAAUUCUCUAUCUUCCAUCUCUGAUGGAAUGACAACUGAAAUCCAGUGAGCAACAAAGUGCAGUACCAUCCACUGUCCUGGAUGCCUUUGAAACCAUGAAACAGACAUCACAAUGCAAGACUAAGUACCGAUGACAUUUCUGUCAAACUAAACAAAUC